RNAcentral lists this ribosomal RNA (850 nucleotides) under Halomonas sp. K0-28-001. RNAcentral describes it as "bacterial SSU rRNA". It matches the Rfam family "Bacterial small subunit ribosomal RNA", at positions 51 to 898 of the family's 1533-position model. The record is from RNAcentral. Lineage: Bacteria; Pseudomonadati; Pseudomonadota; Gammaproteobacteria; Oceanospirillales; Halomonadaceae.
ACACAUGCAAGUCGAGCGGUAACAGGGGUAGCUUGCUACCCGCUGACGAGCGGCGGACGGGUGAGUAAUGCAUAGGAAUCUGCCCGAUAGUGGGGGAUAACCUGGGGAAACCCAGGCUAAUACCGCAUACGUCCUACGGGAGAAAGGGGGCUUCGGCUCCCGCUAUCGGAUGAGCCUAUGUCGGAUUAGCUAGUUGGUGAGGUAAAGGCUCACCAAGGCGACGAUCCGUAGCUGGUCUGAGAGGAUGAUCAGCCACAUCGGGACUGAGACACGGCCCGAACUCCUACGGGAGGCAGCAGUGGGGAAUAUUGGACAAUGGGGGGAACCCUGAUCCAGCCAUGCCGCGUGUGUGAAGAAGGCCCUCGGGUUGUAAAGCACUUUCAGUGAGGAAGAACGCCUGGUGGUUAAUACCCAUCAGGAAAGACAUCACUCACAGAAGAAGCACCGGCUAACUCCGUGCCAGCAGCCGCGGUAAUACGGAGGGUGCGAGCGUUAAUCGGAAUUACUGGGCGUAAAGCGCGCGUAGGUGGCUUGAUAAGCCGGUUGUGAAAGCCCCGGGCUCAACCUGGGAACGGCAUCCGGAACUGUCAAGCUAGAGUGCAGGAGAGGAAGGUAGAAUUCCCGGUGUAGCGGUGAAAUGCGUAGAGAUCGGGAGGAAUACCAGUGGCGAAGGCGGCCUUCUGGACUGACACUGACACUGAGGUGCGAAAGCGUGGGUAGCAAACAGGAUUAGAUACCCUGGUAGUCCACGCCGUAAACGAUGUCGACCAGCCGUUGGGUGCCUAGCGCACUUUGUGGCGAAGUUAACGCGAUAAGUCGACCGCCUGGGGAGUACGGCCGCAAGGUUAAA